AGCCCGGUCGUCUAGCGGCCAAGGAUCUCGGGCUCUGGCCCCGAGGACGCCGGUUCGAAUCCGGCCCGGGCUA
Molecule: transfer RNA, 73 nt
Filed under: Candidatus Caldarchaeum subterraneum
Lineage: Archaea; Thermoproteati; Nitrososphaerota; Candidatus Caldarchaeales; Candidatus Caldarchaeaceae
Also listed under: 1 other name
Description: tRNA-Gln (CTG) (tRNA-Gln-CTG-1-1)
Rfam family: tRNA
About the family: Transfer RNA (tRNA) molecules are approximately 80 nucleotides in length. Their secondary structure includes four short double-helical elements and three loops (D, anti-codon, and T loops).
Source: RNAcentral